UGCAUUUUACUUCAACUGCGCGUGGAUAACUUUGACACGGAGCAAACGGUACAUCGUUUAAUUUAAAUGAACGUUACUUUAUGGGGCCAACUCGUGAGAUACGUCCGGUCGAAUUAGUAUGAAUCGUACUCGCUUUAGACCUGCAAAACACUGAUAGGAGUUUACGAUAACGAAUAAAUAAAUAAACGAAAAAUAGAUAAAGGAAGUCAAUUUAAAGGAAAAGUACGUUGGACGCAAACAAGUCGGAAGUGAAAGUAACAAAGGGGAAACACGUGGGCGUGAUCGAGUAACGCGUAGAGAUCGUUGUCGGGGGUUCCAGUUGGGUGCUUUGCUAAGUUGGACAGCGUCCGUCCGAUGGGAAUCGACGGCGGCCAUCGGGAAUCACUUUGGUAAUCGACUAGCCUGGAAAUUUCCAUGCGGCCCACCAGAAUGUCCAGAGUUGCAUGAAUAUUCCAGCGAUUCGCGGCAAACAUCAAACUUCAAUUACUGGCUCAUUAAAACAUGCAACGAUCUUUUUCCAACGGGAUCGAACUUCAGACUGUCGGGACGAGUAUAGAGCCCUCAAAGAAAACCAGAGAAAUAUAGAAGAUGUCUAGUCACGGAGACCGUCUCUAAUUUUCAUCGAGAAGGGACUUUCUAUCGUCGCAUUUAUAGGAAAUUUGUUCUUCCGACAAAUUUUUAUCUCGUACUAUGUUUUCUGGAAAUUUAAAAUUGACCAUUUAGCAAGUGUGAUCUUUUCCUGUUUUUAACUGCGUUUUCUUCGAUUUUUAUUUAUUGCGUAUAUCGGGUGUGUCGAAUAAGUUUUCGCGAAAAGAUCAUAAAAUCCGAAGACUUUUCGCCGGAAAGACUAAGCUUGUAGAUGUCUGUAAAUUUACAUAUGUACAAUUGCUUUUGGCAUCUUUUAUCAAUGGAAACAAUACAACAGUCAAUUUCCACGUUAUUAAUGUCACUAUAGCGGCACUAAGGAAAGUUCGAAGAGUUGAAACGACAUUCAAUUCCGAACAAUAAUUCCUAACCAAUUCUCGGAAUUCUCGCUGCACCUGUCUCCAAGUUUUCAAGUCUUGACAGAGGGUUUCGCAUAAUUUCCCACCAUCUAAUCGCUGCGGCUGCUGCACGCAUCAUCAGCUCGCAUUUCGCGCCACGGAACCACCCCGUCAGUUCACCUCGUUCAACAAAUCAUCCAGGACCGGGUAUCAGUUUCGCGAGUUCGCGAGCCUCGUUCCUUUGUUCGUUCGACUUCCUCAGGGGCGUCAUUUCUGCAAUUCAAUCUCGAAGUGCUUGAACACUGGAGUGGAACAGAGACAAAGAGAGGCGUGCGCGCGCGCAAGAGAAAGAGAGAGUUUAGGCGAGCACGGGCGGUUCUGUAAAUCACGCGGGACGCGGCUGCCAUUUCGGAUUCCCGGCGUGGCCCUUUGUCGGCGUAUAAUUCACACUCGGUCACGUAUUACAACGGCCGUUACAACGUGCAUUACACUAAUGUCAAACAACGGUCCUGGACUGCGCGACGACCUGGCGUUAAUUUCCAGAACGCUUCGUUUCACAGAAUCGAUCGCCAUGCGAAAUCCUUCGGUGUGUUCGUGGGUCUUGCGUAUCUUUAAAGGAUUGAGGUUUGAGACACGACGACCCAUACAUUCGAUACAUUGUAUGCAAAAGAUAUAGUGGCCAUAAAUAUGUAUCGUCGAUACGAUAUUGUAAAUGUUUGCUGUCAAACA
Bombus terrestris (buff-tailed bumblebee) is the source of this 1712-nucleotide long non-coding RNA. RefSeq lists it as uncharacterized. The transcript has 3 exons. The record is from RefSeq and is a predicted model, not a curated record. Lineage: Eukaryota; Metazoa; Arthropoda; Insecta; Hymenoptera; Apidae.